RNAcentral lists this long non-coding RNA (2443 nucleotides) under Equus asinus (donkey). Its description in RNAcentral is "lncRNA (ENSEASG00005038063.1)". Lineage: Eukaryota; Metazoa; Chordata; Mammalia; Perissodactyla; Equidae. The record is from RNAcentral.
CAGAAAUUUAGCAAGUUUGUUUUCUUAACUCUAGUCUUCCUCAAAAUGAAACUGACAGGUUACAUCAAGAAGUUAGAGAAAGGAGCUGUCAGAGCACAGGCUUGUUUGUUUUUCAUUCAGUCCCAGCAGAAGUUCAAGGACACUGUCCUCCAGCAGGAACAAGCAGGCUGAGGUGACUGCAAGAUCAUGAUGUGGCUCAACCCACCUCGUACUUGGUUAGCCUAAGUCCCAGAGACGCAUGUGUCAGAGUUAAAUACAUUUUUCGUCAUGGGAUAUGGACAGGUUAAGAUGAUUUAAACUAAGUGUGUCCCACGUGGUUAUACUAGCAGGGGCGACAGUGAAAACGUAACCACCAGCACAGCAAGGGCACCAACCACACUGAAGUGAUGCUGGCUGUGGGUAGCAGGCAGCUGUCCUGGUGUCCCUGCUGAAGGUACAACUGUUCCCUGGGCCAGGGGACAGCACUACUGGUACAACUAGCCACAUGAUGGGAAAUCACCUCUGAAGAAUACUGUAUAGAAGACACACAUUUUGCUUUUUCAAUAAAUGCCAGAAAACCUACUUUAUAUAAUUGCAAGCCUUUAAGAACCACCAUGGCUUGAUUCUCCAGCAACUUUUAUUGGUCGAAGGAUGUGGAAUGAUAUGCAGUACCUCUGGUUUAAUUCACAGGCUCAUUUAUAAACCAACUUAACAUUUCUUAUUUAAAAAAUUCUUGCUUUUGAAUAAACCGAUGUGUUAGAAUGGACAUGCUUCUAUCCCAUGCAAAAAGCUGUUGGAAAAUGAGCAGCCUGCAAAAUUAUCAUACAUGAGACACUGAAUGAAAAAUUCUUCCAGCGAGGUCCAAGAAGUAGCUCAGUCUGAGAAUUUGCUUCAUAUUCUGACUUUCAAAAUAAAAUAUUGAAGGCAUAAAAAAAGCAAAGUUAAAAUAUCUAAAACAGAUACAUUCUGAUAUUUUUAUCCAAGUCAUUUCCCAGAGUGUGUAGUGCUGCUGUGCUCUGUUGAUUAAAAUAAAACAACAAAAGCAGUAUAGGCAACUUCUAACUAAAAGGUAAUAAAAUUCACCAGUCUGCAGCUAAAAAGUCACAGUGAAAGAACACAUAGAAGGUGAAGAAUGCUUUUUAACCAUUCAGCCUUAAAUAAUACUGCAUUUCAACUUUAAAGAAAAGUUCUAUAUAUUUUUUGCUUUGACAUUUUAAAAUAUUAGAACAAGUCUUUGUAAUACAAUAUAUAUUAUACUUCAACAUACCUUAUGUGAAUUAAAAACAUGUCAACUUAACUUUAGUAAGGCAUUUAAGUAUUCAGCAAAAGCUAUACAGAAAUUUCUUCAUGAGUGGUAUCCCUUUAAUAGUAACUUGAUUUAGUGGGUUUCCUUAAAACGAACACAAAACAAAAAGAGACUUAAAAAAGAGGCAGUGAUGCUCUAACACUGAAUCCCAGAAAAAGCACAGUAGCAAACAAUGUGUUUUUUAGCAGGGAGACCAGAUAGGUCAGCAAAUUGGGAACAGAUGAGCAGCCCUAGGUUACACGGUCCGUCAAAUUCACCAAGAGCUGAGAGUAGAAUCCACUGCUUAGUACAUUCGGUUAAAAGUACUGGAAUCCUUAGUGCUGAUCACGGCGCCUAAAACAGAGCAGGUACUCAGGCUAGACUUCCUGAACUGACCUGGAUGAAGAUGCUUUAAAUCAAGAGAGAGGUGGACAGUGUUCAAGUUCAUGGAAAACUCCAUUUGUGAUUUUAUUUUGGUAUGUGAGUAACUACUAAUCUAGUAUUUCAAGUGUGGAUCAGUAAACACCUUGUGGACUGUGGUAAAGGGAAUUAAAUAAGCACUGCACUGGCCAUCAAUGCCAGAGUAGUUGAAUAUCAGGUCAUAAAUAUAAUCCACUCUGCAAUAUAACUGACAUGAUGAUCAAAGCACACCUCACAAUUGACAGAUUUUAGUUCAUAUGAUUAAAAAAAAUAAAAUAUUAGACUGCAUUUAGUACCACAUUCUACCAUAUCAUACAUCAGAUACCAUGCUGUGGAGACGUACUGGGCUAGCGCAUGUACAGUCCAUGGUCAGGAUUUAUCUGAAGAUGAAAGGGGAAAUAUGGAGAGAAAACUUUCACAUACAUGGAUACAUCUAAUGGUGGUGUCCACUGACUUAGAUUUAAUAUAUGGUUUGCUGUGCCACAUCUACUAGUUUGUGUAACAUCCCAAAUAAUUUUUUUUGCACAAAGAUCUACUUCUGUUUAAAGUAGAAAAAGACGGUGGUAAAAAAACUUCUUCUUCAAGCUCCAACAAUUGUGUCCCAAAUACCACUGUAUGAACACCUAAAAAAUAUUAAGAACAAUUUAGAAAUAUACAUAACUAUAAAUAUACAAACAAAUAUGACUUAAAGUCUCAAAGGGAAUUAGUGAAUACUCCCAACUUUUAUUUAAACUAACCUACUGCUAUUAGAUAAUGCUG